RNAcentral lists this ribosomal RNA (304 nucleotides) under uncultured bacterium. Its description in RNAcentral is "partial 16S ribosomal RNA". It matches the Rfam family "Bacterial small subunit ribosomal RNA", at positions 506 to 807 of the family's 1533-position model. The record is from RNAcentral.
CAGCAGCAGCCACGGUAAUACAGAGGGUGCGAGCGUUAAUCGGAUUUACUGGGCGUAAAGCGUGCGUAGGCGGCUUUUUAAGUCGGAUGUGAAAUCCCUGAGCUUAACUUAGGAAUUGCAUUCGAUACUGGGAAGCUAGAGUAUGGGAGAGGAUGGUAGAAUUCCAGGUGUAGCGGUGAAAUGCGUAGAGAUCUGGAGGAAUACCGAUGGCGAAGGCAGCCAUCUGGCCUAAUACUGACGCUGAGGUACGAAAGCAUGGGGAGCAAACAGGAUUAGAGACCCCGGUAGUCCCUGUCUCUUAUAC